RNAcentral lists this ribosomal RNA (816 nucleotides) under Streptomyces sp. RNAcentral's name for it is "bacterial SSU rRNA". It matches the Rfam family "Bacterial small subunit ribosomal RNA", at positions 94 to 924 of the family's 1533-position model. Lineage: Bacteria; Bacillati; Actinomycetota; Actinomycetes; Kitasatosporales; Streptomycetaceae. The record is from RNAcentral.
AGUGGCGACGGGUGAGUACACGUGGGCAAUCUGCCCUUCACUCUGGGACAAGCCCUGGAAACGGGGUCUAAUACCGGAUACGAGUCUGGGAGGCAUCUCCUGGACUGGAAAGCUCCGGCGGUGAAGGAUGAGCCCGCGGCCUAUCAGCUUGUUGGUGGGGUAAUGGCCUACCAAGGCGACGACGGGUAGCCGGCCUGAGAGGGCGACCGGCCACACUGGGACUGAGACACGGCCCAGACUCCUACGGGAGGCAGCAGUGGGGAAUAUUGCACAAUGGGCGAAAGCCUGAUGCAGCGACGCCGCGUGAGGGAUGACGGCCUUCGGGUUGUAAACCUCUUUCAGCAGGGAAGAAGCGAAAGUGACGGUACCUGCAGAAGAAGCGCCGGCUAACUACGUGCCAGCAGCCGCGGUAAUACGUAGGGCGCAAGCGUUGUCCGGAAUUAUUGGGCGUAAAGAGCUCGUAGGCGGCUUGUCACGUCGGGUGUGAAAGCCCGGGGCUUAACCCCGGGUCUGCAUCCGAUACGGGCAGGCUAGAGUGUGGUAGGGGAGAUCGGAAUUCCUGGUGUAGCGGUGAAAUGCGCAGAUAUCAGGAGGAACACCGGUGGCGAAGGCGGAUCUCUGGGCCAUUACUGACGCUGAGGAGCGAAAGCGUGGGGAGCGAACAGGAUUAGAUACCCUGGUAGUCCACGCCGUAAACGUUGGGAACUAGGUGUUGGCGACAUUCCACGUCGUCGGUGCCGCAGCUAACGCAUUAAGUUCCCCGCCUGGGGAGUACGGCCGCAAGGCUAAAACUCAAAGGAAUUGACGGGGGCCCGC